GGCUUGAAUCCCACCGUCGUUAUAAUAUUCUGCCGGCAAUUAAAUGACGGCUAAAGUUUCCAUAGUGGACGAUGUGCUCCUGUGACGUCCGCUUGGGUCUUAAAGCGAAUACAUGUGAUUUUGUAUCGCUGUGGCCAAUGCUCGUCUGUGCCACUCAGGACAAAAUAAACAGGAUUAUGUGUCCUUCUCAAACCUACUGCUGUAUUUCCAUCUGUGACAGCAGGACCGUCCUCUUCUUCCUCCUCCUCUUCCACCUCCUCCUCCUCCUCCGCCCGGCACCAACUUGCUUUUCUGCCACACAGAAUUUUGACAAGAGAGAGAGCAUUUACCAUAAACAGAAUUCAUUUACCUGAUUAUUGUUUCUAAAGUUGUAACAUGUAUCUUUUAUCCUUCCAUUAAACCAGGGGUCCCCAAGCUACGGCCCGCGGGCCGAAUACGGCCCGCCAGCAUCCAAAAUCCGGCCCGCGGGAAGUCCCAAGGACAGAUUUCAAAAAUGUGGUCAUGUGACUAUCCCAGGAUAUGGCUUACCCAAAAUGGCAGCAUGUCAGCAUCCUGGAAGGACGACCUCCGGCAUCAACAUGCCACGACCACGUCACACUUUUUUUUGCCACUAAUGCAAAUUUUUAAGUCAUUCAACAAUUGUAUAUUUUUAAUUCCUUGUCAAAUAUUACAAUUUAACUGUUCUUAAUGUAAUUAAUAAUAAUAUAACCAUCACCUAAUUUAUAUCAAAUAAGAGUAGGCUAAGAAAAUAGGGCUAUCUGGCUUUUACUCUUAAAGCAGUCGUGUCAAAAUCGUUUUCAUUGAGGGUCA
Entelurus aequoreus (snake pipefish) is the source of this 810-nucleotide long non-coding RNA. RefSeq lists it as uncharacterized. The record is from RefSeq and is a predicted model, not a curated record. The transcript is spliced from 3 exons. NCBI's taxonomy places the organism in Eukaryota, Metazoa, Chordata, Actinopteri, Syngnathiformes, Syngnathidae.